Panicum virgatum (switchgrass) is the source of this 895-nucleotide long non-coding RNA. RefSeq lists it as uncharacterized. Lineage: Eukaryota; Viridiplantae; Streptophyta; Magnoliopsida; Poales; Poaceae. The record is from RefSeq and is a predicted model, not a curated record. The transcript is spliced from 3 exons.
CGCCGCCCCCUUUCUCCUACGCGAGCACCGCCUGCCGUGGCCGCCGUGCCCCGCGCGCCAUGGCCGCCGUCGCCCCUGCGCGUCGCGGGAUGUCGUCGCCGUCCUGCGACCCAGGCCGCGCCCCCAGCACCGUCAGGCCGCCGCCGAGGGCGCCGUGCCCCACCUGCUGAGGCCGUCGUCACCCUGCGCAGAGAAGCAGAGAAGAAAAAGAAGGGAGGAAGGAAGGAAGGGAAGAGGAGGAGGGACCAGUGCCGCCGACUUGCCGGAGACCCGGAGACCGUCGUCGCCCCUGCACAGCACCAAAGGAGAGGAGGAAAGAGCCUAGGGAAGAAGAGGAAGAGGAAGAGGAGGGAGAAGAGGAGAACAAGACGCCUGCAAUGUGUUUGAUGAAAUGCUCCAGCCACGUCGUCGCCUUCAAGCCAAGUGUUGCUGAACCACGAGCCUUCGUCACGCCGGCCACGUUCUACUCCUUCGCCCCUAGGUCCUGAUGUGGAGGAGUUGACCGACGUCCCGGAGACCAGAAGCCCCCGGAGGACCAGGAAGACUACGAAGACCUAUCAGCCUGAAAGAUGCAGGAUCCGAGAGAAGGAGUCGACAGGACGACAAAUGUGGAAGGAGUUAAGGAUAGCCCGAGCUACACUUCGAGCUGCCUGUGGAGAAGGAUCGAGAAGACUCGUGAAGAUGAAGUUUGCCCAGAAGACUAGAUGUCGUUUCCGCUUUCUGUUUGUUUUCUUUUAGCCCAAGGGGCUUGUACUCUGAGAUCCGUAAUACAAUCCUUUGGAUUACGUAAUAAAUAAACCCAUGUGAUGUUGUAAACGUGAGAUAUGUCUGUGAUAUUCGAUUGAAAUGGGUUCUGUAUGUCAUAGCUACUGAUCCAGGGACUAUCACGACGAUA